GACGAACGCUGGCGGCGUGCUUAACACAUGCAAGUCGAACGGAAAGGCCCUGCUUUUGUGGGGUGCUCGAGUGGCGAACGGGUGAGUAACACGUGAGUAACCUGCCCCUGACUUUGGGAUAACUUCAGGAAACUGGGGCUAAUACCGGAUAGGAGCUCCGGCUGCAUGGUGGGGGUUGGAAAGUUUCGGCGGUUGGGGAUGGGCUCGCGGCUUAUCAGCUUGUUGGUGGGGUAGUGGCUUACCAAGGCUUUGACGGGUAGCCGGCCUGAGAGGGUGACCGGCCACAUUGGGACUGAGAUACGGCCCAGACUCCUACGGGAGGCAGCAGUGGGGAAUAUUGCACAAUGGGCGGAAGCCUGAUGCAGCAACGCCGCGUGCGGGAUGACGGCCUUCGGGUUGUAAACCGCUUUCGCCUGUGACGAAGCGAGAGUGACGGUAAUGGGUAAAGAAGCACCGGCUAACUACGUG
This 468-nucleotide ribosomal RNA is filed under the name uncultured bacterium. RNAcentral describes it as "partial 16S ribosomal RNA". It matches the Rfam family "Bacterial small subunit ribosomal RNA", at positions 28 to 507 of the family's 1533-position model. The record is from RNAcentral.